GACGAACGCUGGCGGCGUGCUUAACACAUGCAAGUCGAACGGGAUUUAGUAGACAGAAACCUCGGUGGAAGAUUACUAAUGAGAGUGGCGAACGGGUGAGUAACGCGUGAGCAACCUGCCUAUGACAGUGGGAUAGCCUCGGGAAACCGGGAUUAAUACCGCAUAAAAUCGUAGAAACACAUGUUUUAACGGUCAAAGAUUUAUCGGUCAUAGAUGGGCUCGCGUCUGAUUAGCUAGUUGGUGAGAUAACAGCCCACCAAGGCGAUGAUGGGUAGCCGGCCUGAGAGGGUGAUCGGCCACAAGGGGACUGAGACACGGCCCUUACUCCUACGGGAGGCAGCAGUGGGGAAUAUUGGACAAUGGACCGAGAGUCUGAUCCAGCAAUUCUGUGUGCACGAUGAAGUUUUUCGGAAUGUAAAGUGCUUUCAGUUGGGAAGAAAGAAAUGACGGUACCAACAGAAGAAGUGACGGCUAAAUACGUGCCAGCAGCCGCGGUAAUACGUAUGUCACGAGCGUUAUCCGGAUUUAUUGGGCGUAAAGCGCGUCUAGGUGGUUAUAUAAGUCUGAUGUGAAAAUGCAGGGCUCAACUCUGUAUUGCGUUGGAAACUGUAUAACUAGAGUACUGGAGAGGUAAGCGGAACUACAAGUGUAGAGGUGAAAUUCGUAGAUAUUUGUAGGAAUGCCGAUGGGGAAGCCAGCUUACUGGACAGAUACUGACGCUGAAGCGCGAAAGCGUGGGUAGCAAACAGG
RNAcentral lists this ribosomal RNA (750 nucleotides) under uncultured Porphyromonas sp. RNAcentral's name for it is "bacterial SSU rRNA". It matches the Rfam family "Bacterial small subunit ribosomal RNA", at positions 28 to 776 of the family's 1533-position model. Lineage: Bacteria; Pseudomonadati; Bacteroidota; Bacteroidia; Bacteroidales; Porphyromonadaceae. The record is from RNAcentral.